GUCUAUGGCCAUACCACCCUGAACGUGCCCAAUCUUGUCUGAUCCCGGAAGCAAAGCAGGGUCGGGCCUGGUUAGUACUUGAUGGGAGAAUUGUGUUCAAAGAAU
Molecule: ribosomal RNA, 105 nt
Filed under: Cercocebus atys (sooty mangabey)
Lineage: Eukaryota; Metazoa; Chordata; Mammalia; Primates; Cercopithecidae
Source: RNAcentral